This 949-nucleotide long non-coding RNA is filed under the name Homo sapiens (human). Its description in RNAcentral is "HSALNT0315367". Lineage: Eukaryota; Metazoa; Chordata; Mammalia; Primates; Hominidae. The record is from RNAcentral.
AGGACUCUCCAGAGAGUCGCCACUGGCAGAAGAUUCUCCAGAGACAGUCAUGUGACAUUGGAACUCUCAGCCUCCAGAACUAGUGUGUUUCAGAGCCAGCCACUUAACUGAAGACAGGAAUUCCAAAAUAUUUAUCUACCAAAGAGUUGGCUCAACUUUUCACCAUAGCAUGACUGAGUGAACAUAUUUGAGUUAUCAGUUCUCCUAUUUCAUGACACAGAAAAUUCCCCAAGUGACUGAGAGCUUAUAUUUUCCUGGAACUGAAGACGUGAAUAAGGAUUGAUGUAAUUUUCAUCUGUAAUAUUUCCAGAGAGGAAUUGGGCACAUCUUGACAUUUAGGGAACAGUAGUUAGUAGUAAAUGUUUCUCCAGAGUUUUUAGACUCCAUCGUCACUAUUUAUUAUAGAUUGGAAAUUCAUUUUGGUGGUCUGCUGGUCCAAGACAGUGAAUCACAACCCAAAUAUCAGCCCCUCCCCAUCAAAAGAAGAGAUUAUUCUGUUUCUGGUGUCUAAGGAUUAUUAAAUAUUUGAGAUGAAUUUAUAUUAAUAUGUUACCUUAAAUACAAACAAUCAACAAAAGAUUAAGCUGUCUGUUUUGUGAUCUUAUUUAUUUCUUCAAGAAACAAUGAAAACUUCUCAUUUGGUUUUGGAACUUACUAUUUGGAACUUUAUGAUACAGGAUAUUGUAUGUUAGCCUGAGUCCACCUCCCCCCUUGAAAAAGGAUAGUCAAAUAAUAAACUUUGCCAACUCUGAGGCUCUGUGUAUUCCUGUUCCUGCUCUGAGUGUCCAGGAAGAACAGCAGACUCCUAAGAACAUUAAUGAAAACAACAACAACAACAACAGCAACACGUGAAGGUUACAUUCACAGAGAGAUCUGCCAUAACCAGCACAGCAGCUGGUUGAAAGCUACAGAAGAGACUGAACUGAUUCAAUGCAUGUCAAGAGUUUUU